This 776-nucleotide ribosomal RNA is filed under the name uncultured bacterium. Its description in RNAcentral is "bacterial SSU rRNA". It matches the Rfam family "Bacterial small subunit ribosomal RNA", at positions 28 to 803 of the family's 1533-position model. The record is from RNAcentral.
GACGAACGCUGGCGGUAUGCUUAACACAUGCAAGUCGAACGAGAAGGUUUUGAAUGAUCCUUCGGGUGAAAUUAGAACUGGAAAGUGGCGAACGGGUGAGUAACGCGUGGGUAACCUGCCCUAUGGAAAGGAAUAGCCUCGGGAAACUGGGAGUAAAGCCUUAUAUUAUGGUUUUGUCGCAUGGCAAGAUCAUGAAAACUCCGGUGCCAUAGGAUGGACCCGCGUCCCAUUAGCUAGUUGGUGAGAUAAUAGCCCACCAAGGCGACGAUGGGUAACCGGUCUGAGAGGGCGAACGGUCACACUGGAACUGAGACACGGUCCAGACUCCUACGGGAGGCAGCAGUGGGGAAUAUUGCGCAAUGGGGGCAACCCUGACGCAGCAAUACCGCGUGAGUGAAGAAGGUUUUCGGAUCGUAAAGCUCUGUUAUUGGGGAAGAAAACAUGACGGUACCCAAUGAGGAAGUCCCGGCUAACUACGUGCCAGCAGCCGCGGUAAUACGUAGGGGACAAGCGUUGUCCGGAAUGACUGGGCGUAAAGGGCGCGUAGGCGGUCUAUUAAGUCUGAUGUGAAAGGUACCGGCUCAACCGGUGAAGUGCAUUGGAAACUGGUAGACUUGAGUAUUGGAGAGGCAAGUGGAAUUCCUAGUGUAGCGGUGAAAUGCGUAGAUAUUAGGAGGAACACCAGUGGCGAAGGCGGCUUGCUGGACAAAUACUGACGCUGAGGUGCGAAAGCGUGGGGAGCGAACAGGAUUAGAUACCCUGGUAGUCCACGCCGU